Molecule: ribosomal RNA, 628 nt
Filed under: Vibrio alginolyticus
Lineage: Bacteria; Pseudomonadati; Pseudomonadota; Gammaproteobacteria; Vibrionales; Vibrionaceae
Description: bacterial SSU rRNA
Rfam family: Bacterial small subunit ribosomal RNA
Source: RNAcentral
AGAAGGCCUUUCGGGUUGUAAAGCACUUUCAGUCGUGAGGAAGGUGGUGUAGUUAAUAGCUGCAUUACUUGACGUUAGCGACAGAAGAAGCACCGGCUAACUCCGUGCCAGCAGCCGCGGUAAUACGGAGGGUGCGAGCGUUAAUCGGAAUUACUGGGCGUAAAGCGCAUGCAGGUGGUUUGUUAAGUCAGAUGUGAAAGCCCGGGGCUCAACCUCGGAAUAGCAUUUGAAACUGGCAGACUAGAGUACUGUAGAGGGGGGUAGAAUUUCAGGUGUAGCGGUGAAAUGCGUAGAGAUCUGAAGGAAUACCGGUGGCGAAGGCGGCCCCCUGGACAGAUACUGACACUCAGAUGCGAAAGCGUGGGGAGCAAACAGGAUUAGAUACCCUGGUAGUCCACGCCGUAAACGAUGUCUACUUGGAGGUUGUGGCCUUGAGCCGUGGCUUUCGGAGCUAACGCGUUAAGUAGACCGCCUGGGGAGUACGGUCGCAAGAUUAAAACUCAAAUGAAUUGACGGGGGCCCGCACAAGCGGUGGAGCAUGUGGUUUAAUUCGAUGCAACGCGAAGAACCUUACCUACUCUUGACAUCCAGAGAACUUUCCAGAGAUGGAUUGGUGCCUUCGGGAACU